RNAcentral lists this ribosomal RNA (833 nucleotides) under actinobacterium CT3g. RNAcentral describes it as "bacterial SSU rRNA". It matches the Rfam family "Bacterial small subunit ribosomal RNA", at positions 54 to 902 of the family's 1533-position model. The record is from RNAcentral. Lineage: Bacteria; Bacillati; Actinomycetota; Actinomycetes.
CAUGCAGUCGACGAUGAACCACCUUCGGGUGGGGAUUAGUGGCGAACGGGUGAGUAACACGUGGGCAAUCUGCCCUGCACUCUGGGACAAGCCCUGGAAACGGGGUCUAAUACCGGAUACUGAACCGCUUGGGCAUCCAGGCGGUUCGAAAGCUCCGGCGGUGCAGGAUGAGCCCGCGGCCUAUCAGCUUGUUGGUGAGGUAACGGCUCACCAAGGCGACGACGGGUAGCCGGCCUGAGAGGGCGACCGGCCACACUGGGACUGAGACACGGCCCAGACUCCUACGGGAGGCAGCAGUGGGGAAUAUUGCACAAUGGGCGAAAGCCUGAUGCAGCGACGCCGCGUGAGGGAUGACGGCCUUCGGGUUGUAAACCUCUUUCAGCAGGGAAGAAGCGAAAGUGACGGUACCUGCAGAAGAAGCGCCGGCUAACUACGUGCCAGCAGCCGCGGUAAUACGUAGGGCGCGAGCGUUGUCCGGAAUUAUUGGGCGUAAAGAGCUCGUAGGCGGCUUGUCGCGUCGGUUGUGAAAGCCCGGGGCUUAACCCCGGGUCUGCAGUCGAUACGGGCAGGCUAGAGUUCGGUAGGGGAGAUCGGAAUUCCUGGUGUAGCGGUGAAAUGCGCAGAUAUCAGGAGGAACACCGGUGGCGAAGGCGGAUCUCUGGGCCGAUACUGACGCUGAGGAGCGAAAGCGUGGGGAGCGAACAGGAUUAGAUACCCUGGUAGUCCACGCCGUAAACGGUGGGCACUAGGUGUGGGCGACAUUCCACGUCGUCCGUGCCGCAGCUAACGCAUUAAGUGCCCCGCCUGGGAGUACGGCCGCAAGGCUAAAACUC